Molecule: long non-coding RNA, 303 nt
Organism: Phyllostomus discolor (pale spear-nosed bat)
Lineage: Eukaryota; Metazoa; Chordata; Mammalia; Chiroptera; Phyllostomidae
Exons: 2
Source: RefSeq, a predicted model, not a curated record
CUUAGUUAAUUAAUAUCAGCCUUCUAUAUGCGGGAAAGCCGGCUUUGCCACCCAAAAAUAUGCUUUUUGAGAUAUUGAUUAUUUUAACCUGGUUAUUUUUCAGAAACAAAAGACUCAGAAAGAAGAUUUGACCUGCCCUCUAACUGCAUCUAAGAAUUCAGAUGGAAGACCUGCUUCAGGAAGGCAGGUAUCUUCCAAGGUUCAUCGUGUACUAUUUUGCAACAUUCAAUUGAAUUUUGAGAACCAUGAGGCCUACUUUUUGUAGGCAGAGUGAUUUCUUUGGAACACCUUUUAAUUGUAUAU